Long non-coding RNA from Oncorhynchus tshawytscha (Chinook salmon), 725 nucleotides. RefSeq lists it as uncharacterized. The transcript is spliced from 3 exons. The record is from RefSeq and is a predicted model, not a curated record. NCBI's taxonomy places the organism in Eukaryota, Metazoa, Chordata, Actinopteri, Salmoniformes, Salmonidae.
ACUCGUGACUUAACUUGGACUUGAGCCUUAUGACUCGACCUGACUUGAUACCCUCCCCAAACCCAAAUAUAAAAAACGAUACUAUUAAAAAAAGUGCGCAGCGCAUCAACUCUUCAUUUAACGGAUUACAGUGUGAAUCGGACAGCAGCCAAUCAAGUUGUGUGUGGCAGUGCAGAGGAACGCCAGCGGGUGAAUUCAGAUGGAGCCCUUGGAAUGAUGAUACCCAAAAGUAUUAUUUUCGGGUAUAAAGACGACGCUGUAUCAACAAAAUACGGAUUGCAAUUUGCAAAACAUGCGGGAAGAAAAUUACAGACGGAGGUGCAACAAUUUCCAACUUUGUUCGACAUUUGUAGCUGCACAAAGAACGGUUUUCUACAUUGUCAAGGCUUGCAGUGUGCUCCACAACAUUGCAAUCAAAAAUGUCAUUCCACUGAAUGACCAACUGAGACCUGAUGAGCCCAUGCCUGACAGGGAGUGUUUCCCACCACCCAUAGGCCUGGCACUGAGGACCAGAGUGAAUAUCAUACACCGGGUUUAGGACUGCAUCACAGGCUGACUACAUUGCUCACGUCACGUACGUGUAGCAAAAUAAAUUUAGAAAUCUAUAUUAUUCAAUUAUUGCACCUACACUGCUCGCGCGUGCCAAUGAGUGUCUGCAUUGCCAAGGGCUAAAAUAGAAGUCAGUUCUAUUUGUGACGCAGAUCGCGCCGCAAAUCCUGCCUCUC